GGGCCGGGUGCUACCGUGGAAUCGGAGACAAUCCGCCUGUCGCGGUUACGCUCAUCGAGGUCGUGGGAAAACGCAGGUCAGCAUAGCGUUUAGGCGUUUUGACCUGAAAAGCGGAAGGUCGGCGGUUCGACCCCGCCCCUGCCCA
RNAcentral lists this transfer RNA (145 nucleotides) under Parafrankia sp. EAN1pec. RNAcentral describes it as "tRNA-Und (NNN) (tRNA-Und-NNN-4-1)". The record is from RNAcentral. Lineage: Bacteria; Bacillati; Actinomycetota; Actinomycetes; Frankiales; Frankiaceae.